ACGGCCAGGACUACAGGGGUAUCUAAUCCCUUUCGCUCCCCUGGCUUUCGUCCAUGAGCGUCAGUAAUGGCCCAGCAGAGCGCCUUCGCCACUGGUGUUCUUCCCGAUAUCUACGCAUUUCACCGCUACACCGGGAAUUCCCUCUGCCCCUACCAUACUCAAGCCGAUCAGUUUCCACUGCCAUAAUGGAGUUAAGCUCCACGCUUUAACAGCAGACUUGAAAGGCCGCCUGCGGACGCUUUACGCCCAAUAAUUCCGGAUAACGCUUGCCACUCCCGUAUUACCGCGGCUGCUGGCACGGAAUUAGCCGUGGCUUAUUCCUCAAGUACCGUCAUAUCUUCUUCCUUGAGAAAAGAGGUUUACAGCCCAGAGGCCUUCGUCCCUCACGCGGCGUUGCUCCGUCAGGCUUUCGCCCAUUGCG
This 421-nucleotide ribosomal RNA is filed under the name uncultured bacterium. RNAcentral's name for it is "partial 16S ribosomal RNA". The record is from RNAcentral.